UUGAACGCUGGCGGCAGGCUUAACACAUGCAAGUCGAACGGUAACAGGAAGCAGCUUGCUGCUUCGCUGACGAGUGGCGGACGGGUGAGUAAUGUCUGGGAAGCUGCCUGAUGGAGGGGGAUAACUACUGGAAACGGUAGCUAAUACCGCAUAAUGUCGCAAGACCAAAGAGGGGGACCUUCGGGCCUCUUGCCAUCGGAUGUGCCCAGAUGGGAUUAGCUUGUUGGUGGGGUAACGGCUCACCAAGGCGACGAUCCCUAGCUGGUCUGAGAGGAUGACCAGCCACACUGGAACUGAGACACGGUCCAGACUCCUACGGGAGGCAGCAGUGGGGAAUAUUGCACAAUGGGCGCAAGCCUGAUGCGGCCAUGCCGCGUGUAUGAAGAAGGCCUUCGGGUUGUAAAGUACUUUCAGCGGGGAGGAAGGGAGUAAAGUUAAUACCUUUGCUCAUUGACGUUACCCGCAGAAGAAGCACCGGCUAACUCCGUG
This 489-nucleotide ribosomal RNA is filed under the name uncultured bacterium. RNAcentral describes it as "partial 16S ribosomal RNA". It matches the Rfam family "Bacterial small subunit ribosomal RNA", at positions 30 to 507 of the family's 1533-position model. The record is from RNAcentral.